RNAcentral lists this transfer RNA (73 nucleotides) under Bos taurus (domestic cattle). It matches the Rfam family "tRNA". Rfam says of the family: Transfer RNA (tRNA) molecules are approximately 80 nucleotides in length. Their secondary structure includes four short double-helical elements and three loops (D, anti-codon, and T loops). Further hydrogen bonds mediate the characteristic L-shaped molecular structure. tRNAs have two regions of fundamental functional importance: the anti-codon, which is responsible for specific mRNA codon recognition, and the 3' end, to which the tRNAs corresponding amino acid is attached (by aminoacyl-tRNA synthetases). tRNAs cope with the degeneracy of the genetic code in two manners: having more than one tRNA (with a specific anti-codon) for a particular amino acid; and 'wobble' base-pairing, i.e. permitting non-standard base-pairing at the 3rd anti-codon position. The record is from Rfam by way of RNAcentral. RNAcentral also lists the same sequence under 4 other names. Lineage: Eukaryota; Metazoa; Chordata; Mammalia; Artiodactyla; Bovidae.
UCCCUCGUGGUUCAAUGGUUAAGAUUCUGCACUUCCAUUGCAGGGGUUGCAGGUUCAAUCCCUGCUUGGGGAA